UGGGAAGCAAUAAUGUACAUGAGGUUGGC
This 29-nucleotide non-coding RNA is filed under the name Rattus norvegicus (Norway rat). Lineage: Eukaryota; Metazoa; Chordata; Mammalia; Rodentia; Muridae. The record is from RNAcentral.